Long non-coding RNA from Prunus persica (peach), 2364 nucleotides. RefSeq lists it as uncharacterized. The transcript is spliced from 3 exons. The record is from RefSeq and is a predicted model, not a curated record. NCBI's taxonomy places the organism in Eukaryota, Viridiplantae, Streptophyta, Magnoliopsida, Rosales, Rosaceae.
CUAAGCAAUGGGGGAUGGCUUCCAACAUCAUCAUUAAGCUCCAACAUCAUCAUUAAGCUUUUUGAAUAUUAUUUCCUUCUUUUCUUUAUGUGGGCUCCAUCAUUUUCUUUACAACAAUCCAAAAUUUAAGAUGGUAUUAUGAGCAUGAAAUAUCUAACUCCAACCAUGAAGGUACCGUGACAGUUAGCACUCUAUCUCCCUCUUUCUUUUUCUUUUUUCUAUAGCAAAAGGAGGGCCUAGGGUUUAUGGUACGGGUUGAGUACACUGGUUUACGCCAUUGAAGUUGCUUCAAAGUUGCUACAUUUCUUUAACACCAAGGCAAGGCUUCCUUGAAAAUGACCCUCAUGGCCAAAACUAGACCGGAGAGAAAGGACGUGGAUUCUUACACGAUCAGAGGCAACAACAAAGUCGUCAGAGGUAAAGAAAACGAGAAGGAAAACAAUAUUUUUGAUUUUUUUUUGAUUUUUUUAUUUUGCGGGAAGGGAAAUGUGUUGAAGAAAUGGUGGUUUUGCAGUGGGGGAUUGGGUGCUGAUGGGCCCAUCGGUCACCGGUAAGCCCCCAUGCUUGGCAUGCAUCAAGAAGAUUGAAGCCUAGGACGACUGGAGCAAUGUGAAAGUGAGAGUGAGGUCGUACUAUAGGCCAGAGGAGUCGAUCGGAGGGCGUAGAAAGUUUUAUGGAGCCAAAGAGCUCCUUGUCUGACCUCUAUGAUGAUCGGAGAGCGCUGACACCAUUGAAGGCAAGUGUAGGGUCCACUCUCUUAAGAACUACGCAAAGCUGGAGAAUGUGGGAGCUGAAAAUUACUACUGUAGAUUUGAGUACAAAGUUGAUGCUGGAGAGCUUGCACCAGACAUAGUUGCUGUGUGAGUGUCAUUUGCUUUCUGGUUGCUUUGGUUUUUUUUUUUUUUUUUGGAAGACCUCUCUUAUUGAAAUGAGCGAUAAUAUAUUAAACUCGCACACAUUGUGGACUAGACUUUUCUUGAGGGAGGAAUUGACACUACACUGGUGGGUCCUUGCUGUUGCUUUGAUUUUUAAUUAGUGGAAAUGUGGUGUUUAUGUGGAUAGAAUAUGAUGGGUUUGUUUUUGUCUGUCUGUUUUGAAGGCAUUGCAAGUGUGAGAUGCCGUAUAAUCCGGAUGAACUCAUGUGAAGUGCGAAGGGUGCAGGGAACGGGAAAUGCUUGGAGAGCUUGUUGAUAAUUUAGGUCCUGUAGAUACUCGAGCAACAUCUCCUAUUCAUAGAUCUGUGCCUGCCUUUAUACAGUUAGAAAAAAAAAAUUUCAAGGGAAUUAUCUGGUGGCUACUGAAUCUUGUUUGGAAGAAAUUUGGGUCCUUUUUGCAACAUAAUUUGGCUCUACCUUAUGUAAAUCUUAAAUACCCUAAUAGAUACAUGAUUUUAUUUUACCAUUGACGACGCAUACGUAUAGGUAUCAUCUGCUUGCAUUGGCAUGACCAUUGUAGAAGCAAAAAAAUUGGAAAGCUUUGUUUUGUUCAGAAUGUUCGUCUAAAGAGGAUGUGAUUAAGGCCCCAGAGCCAGAAUGCAUUUUCAGCAUCACCAGAAGCUGAUGCAAAGGAGUCUCUGGCUAGUUUUUCGACUGUGGAGGCCAUGGUCCAGCCUGUUGUCCCAGAAAACUCUUCAGUCCCAGACUUUAGCAAAUUGGAUUUAGAUUCGCUCUGAUCCACAGGAACGAGGAAGUUAGAGGUCCUCCUCCAACUGCAGCUGCCGAAUAAGCCAUGUUUCAAGUGAAAAAAUGGAGAGACGAAGGGUUUUCUGUUGAACAAGGCUAUUAAUCCGUCAAUCAGCUGAUGGAAGAUUUGUGUUUGCUUGCCAAAGAACAGGUGCUGCCUCUACCAUUUCUGGAAGCUAGUGUAACUUUUACAGAGGACUUCCAGGAUCUGGCUGGACAAUGGGCAGCCAUUGAGAAGAACUACAAGGAGGCCGAAGUUUACAAGAACACUUUCAGCACUAGUGUUCGAGACCUGGAGCAAGAGAGGAAAGCUUGUAGUCUCAAGUAUCAACAGCUCCAGCAAGUGAAGACUGAAAUUGUAGCUCGGCUUCAAAAACAGUUGGCUAGCUAGCAAAGAACAAGAACACAAUCAACUCCAUGCUUUUCUGAACUCCGUUGGAUUCCGCCUGGACUCUGCAGAGCCAGAUUGCUAAAGCUAAGCCUGCCUGAUGCCGAAGCUACUCUUUUCAAGGCAGAUGUGUACUCAGAGCUCUCUCAUUUCAAAACAGUUUUUAUCUAGCCUUGAACAUUACUAUAUGCUUGAAUUGUAAAAUUUGAAACAUUUUCAAAAGUGGAACAGAUUUCACUGAACUGCAGCAACUUGGUAUUUUGUAAUUUGAUCAAUGUUGAUGCGAAAAAAUGG